UUCAUAAGGCAGCAGUCAGCGCGGAGGUGCGGAGGCUUCCGGCCCUCGCACUAACUUGCAUUCCAGCAUUAAAGAUAAUGGAUACAAUGGAAAAUCGAUGGCGAAUAUGUAACUUUAUCCCAUUCAUAGCUUCAUAUUGCAUUACGCCGUGGCCUUCAGAUACAUAAAAGUGAUAUAUGGCUGAACUUGGCAGGAAAAAAGAACACAGGAAACAAAUAUCUUUGACUGCCAGGGCCAGGGGCUGUUGGUAAAGUCUCAGCUUCACGCUGGGGUUGUGGUGGCUCCCCAGGUCUCCCGUGCUAACCUAAGCUACGCUGCUUGUCAUCGCUCCGGGUGAAGAGAUGGAAAAGGGGAUGUACUAUGGCACAGUGGAUGGAUGGACAGGACUGUGGCGGCAACAUUCCCACUACUGAGUUUACAAAGCUUGCCAAACGUGGAGAACUUCACAGAAAUCGAGAAGAAAAAGCUUCCUGGCUGGCUGGAUUUUCCAUUGCUUUCUCAGCUGUACCGUGGUGGCUCCUCUAAUUUAUUCUGCAACCAGAGGGGACAACUGCGCACAGCACAGGCAUGCGAGACAGGAGAGAGUCGCUGGCACAUAGCACCACAGCUGCUCUGGAACCUCAGGAAAAUUGAUUUUAGGUGAAAGGACUGGGUUCUCCUCGCACGCUGGGUAAAUGAGGAAUGCCUUUACUGAGGACCGUGGCUUUGCAUGAGAACAACCUGGUGAAAGGGGGGAAAGCAGGCUGAAAAAACCUUUUCUUGCAAGGUCCCUCGGUUUUAUAUUCUUAGUCGCACUUGCAGAAUACAUCAUACCGACAGGAAAUUAUGCUUCCUUUCUCCCUCACUUUCCUGGUUUAGAUUUCAGCUCCUCCUGUGUAAUACCAGCGAGUACAGAUAAAGUUAUUUUACAGUAUGAAGUCAGUGCUUCUCCAAAUAAUUUAACUAAUGUUUAUAACGCUAUCCCCUGUAAAAGGGAUAAGUAUUAUCCCCAUUUUACAGGUGUGAAAAUCAAGGCAAUUUGGUCAUGGUGUUGAAAGGAAAUUAUGUUAAACUACCAGCACUGAAUUCAUGUAACUUAUCCCACUUCUUGACUGUAGAUCAGAGUUCAUACAGUCACGCUCUAUAAAUAUCUGCCAGCACGUAUAUGUGGGCUUCAUAUGAACGUAAAAAACCUACCCUUCCCUCAAACUUUGAUUCAGCAUCUGAAUGUAUCUUCCUCGUACCUAGUUUUACUGUAUUUGGUCUAAAAGCCCAUAACUUGAGUCACACACACGAACUUCAGAGAGAAGAUUGCCAGAAAUAGGGCUUCUGCUGUUGGAGGCUGCUGCCCGGUCCUAACCUGCACUUUUCAUGUCUCAGUUGCAGAUGAGAUGGAAAAUCUGAGCUGCUUUGGCCAGAAGCCUAUCCUGGAUUUGGAUUCUCCUUUUUUUUCCUCAAACAGUAUGUGCAAUUACUGACUACUUUGCAAUACAGAAAAGCAAGAUAAUCCCAUUUCUGAUCGCUGGAACUGGGACGGAUCUGAUUUGUAAAGUAAAAUGGCAUGCACAGAAGUAGGCAAGAAAGGGGGGAAAAAAUCAGUGAGAAGCUACUUCUAGGGAAUCAGGAAAAAAAAACAGGAUAGGAUUUCUUCCUUAGUGAAUUGUUUUUGCCCAGGAACAUUUCAGUCCUAAAGCAAAUCCAGAAACUGUUGUGAGUCUAUGACAUAUGACUAGUAUCUUGAAAGUUUACAGCAGAUUGCAACAGCCCGAGAUGACAUUUAGGCAGCUGAAGCCACAUUCGCUAAGUUGUGUUUCACAGGGAAAAAUAUACUGCCUAGUGGAAAUAUUAUGCUGUUGUUGGGUGGCAGCUUGCAUUAUUAUUAGAGAUGGCAAGGGUCUAUGUGGCAUUUGUACUUGAAACAAGGAAUUUUAAGCAACUCGGAGCUUACGGGCUGGGCACUUCUUUGCUUGCUUUUGUAUCACUUGGGUUUCUGUGUGUGCAUAUUUUAGCUAAUG
Aptenodytes forsteri (emperor penguin) is the source of this 1994-nucleotide long non-coding RNA. RefSeq lists it as uncharacterized. The transcript has 3 exons. The record is from RefSeq and is a predicted model, not a curated record. Lineage: Eukaryota; Metazoa; Chordata; Aves; Sphenisciformes; Spheniscidae.